CGAUGCAUGUUCAGUGAAAUCGAGUAGGGCGGGACACGUGUUAUCCUGUCUGAAUAUGGGGGGACCAUCCUCCAAGGCUAAAUACUCCUGACUGACCGAUAGUGAACCAGUACCGUGAGGGAAAGGCGAAAAGAACCCCUGUGAGGGGAGUGAAAUAGAACCUGAAACCGUGUACGUACAAGCAGUAGGAGCACCUUCGUGGUGUGACUGCGUACCUUUUGUAUAAUGGGUCAGCGACUUAUAUUCAGUGGCAAGGUUAACCAUCUAGGGGAGCCGUAGGGAAACCGAGUCUUAACUGGGCGUCAUAGUCUCUGGAUAUAGACCCGAAACCGAGUGAUCUAGCCAUGGGCAGGUUGAAGGUUGAGUAACAUCAACUGGAGGACCGAACCGACUAAUGUUGAAAAAUUAGCGGAUGACUUGUGGCUAGGGGUGAAAGGCCAAUCAAACUCGGAGAUAGCUGGUUCUCCCCGAAAGCUAUUUAGGUAGCGCCUCGGACGAAUACUACUGGGGGUAGAGCACUGUUAAGGCUAGGGGGUCAUCCCGACUUACCAACCCUUUGCAAACUCCGAAUACCAGUAAGUACUAUCCGGGAGACACACGGCGGGUGCUAACGUCCGUCGUGGAGAGGGAAACAACCCAGACCGCCAGCUAAGGUCCCAAAUUACAGCUAAGUGGGAAACGAUGUGGGAAGGCUUAGACAGCUAGGAUGUUGGCUUAGAAGCAGCCAUCAUUUAAAGAAAGCGUAAUAGCUCACUAGUCGAGUCGGCCUGCGCGGAAGAUGUAACGGGGCUAAGUUGUAAACCGAAGCUGCGGCAAUGUUCUUUGAACAUUGGGUAGGGGAGCGUUCUGUAAGCCGUUGAAGGUGUGUUGUAAAGCAUGCUGGAGGUAUCAGAAGUGCGAAUGCUGACAUGAGUAACGACAAGGGGGGUGAAAAACCUCCCCGCCGGAAGACCAAGGGUUCCUGUCCAACGUUAAUCGGGGCAGGGUAAGUCGACCCCUAAGGCGAGGCUGAAAAGCGUAGUCGAUGGGAAACGGGUUAAUAUUCCCGUACUUCUUACAAUUGCGAUGGGGGGACGGAGAAGGCUAGGUGGGCCUGGCGACGGUUGUCCAGGUUCAAGUGCGUAGGCUGAGUGUUUAGGUAAAUCCGGAUACUCUUAAGGCUGAGACACGACGUCGAGCUACUACGGUAGUGAAGUCAUUGAUGCCAUGCUUCCAGGAAAAGCCUCUAAGCUUCAGAUUGUAAGGAAUCGUACCCCAAACCGACACAGGUGGUCGGGUAGAGAAUACCAAGGCGCUUGAGAGAACUCGGGUGAAGGAACUAGGCAAAAUGGUACCGUAACUUCGGGAGAAGGUACGCUCUUGAUGGUGAAGUCCCUUGCGGAUGGAGCUGACGAGAGUCGCAGAUACCAGGUGGCUGCAACUGUUUAUUAAAAACACAGCACUGUGCAAAAUCGUAAGAUGACGUAUACGGUGUGACGCCUGCCCGGUGCCGGAAGGUUAAUUGAUGGGGUUAGCGCAAGCGAAGCUCUUGAUCGAAGCCCCGGUAAACGGCGGCCGUAACUAUAACGGUCCUAAGGUAGCGAAAUUCCUUGUCGGGUAAGUUCCGACCUGCACGAAUGGCGUAAUGAUGGCCACGCUGUCUCCACCCGAGACUCAGUGAAAUUGAAAUCGCUGUGAAGAUGCAGUGUACCCGCGGCUAGACGGAAAGACCCCGUGAACCUUUACUACAGCUUGGCACUGAACAUUGAACCUACAUGUGUAGGAUAGGUGGGAGGCUUUGAAGACGUGACGCCAGUUGCGUUGGAGCCGUCCUUGAAAUACCACCCUUGUAUGUUUGAUGUUCUAACGUUGGCCCCUAAUCGGGGUUGCGGACAGUGCCUGGUGGGUAGUUUGACUGGGGCGGUCUCCUCCCAAAGAGU
RNAcentral lists this ribosomal RNA (1919 nucleotides) under Vibrio vulnificus JY1701. Its description in RNAcentral is "bacterial LSU rRNA". It matches the Rfam family "Bacterial large subunit ribosomal RNA", at positions 389 to 2298 of the family's 2925-position model. The record is from RNAcentral. Lineage: Bacteria; Pseudomonadati; Pseudomonadota; Gammaproteobacteria; Vibrionales; Vibrionaceae.